GGAGUUUGGUCCGUGUCUCAGUACCAAUGUGGGGGACCUUCCUCUCAGAACCCCUACUGAUCGUCGGCUAGGUGGGCCGUUACCCCGCCUACUGCCUAAUCAGACGCAUCCCCAUCCCAUAGCGAUAAAUCUUUGGCAUUGCUCAGAUGUCCUCAUAAUACAACAUAGGGCAUUAAUCCGACUUUCGCCAGGCUAUUCCCUACUAUGGGAAGGUUGGAUACGCGUUACUCACCCGUGCGCCGGUCGCCAUCAAGGAAGCAAGCUUCCUUCAUGCUGCCCCACGACUUGCAUGUGUUAAGCCUGUAGCUAGCGUUCAUC
RNAcentral lists this ribosomal RNA (318 nucleotides) under uncultured Prevotella sp. Its description in RNAcentral is "partial 16S ribosomal RNA". Lineage: Bacteria; Pseudomonadati; Bacteroidota; Bacteroidia; Bacteroidales; Prevotellaceae. The record is from RNAcentral.